Molecule: ribosomal RNA, 20 nt
Filed under: Iotyrris cerithiformis
Lineage: Eukaryota; Metazoa; Mollusca; Gastropoda; Neogastropoda; Turridae
Description: partial 28S ribosomal RNA
Source: RNAcentral
UCCGACCUCAGAUCGGACGA